Long non-coding RNA from Pipistrellus kuhlii (Kuhl's pipistrelle), 2356 nucleotides. RefSeq lists it as uncharacterized. The record is from RefSeq and is a predicted model, not a curated record. NCBI's taxonomy places the organism in Eukaryota, Metazoa, Chordata, Mammalia, Chiroptera, Vespertilionidae. The transcript is spliced from 3 exons.
UGACCAGAAUUGAACCAGACCCUUUGGUCCAUAGGCAGACGCUCUAUCCACUGAGCGAAACAGGCUAGGCCCUAAGAUAUGAUCUUGACAGUUCUUAUUUGCUAUGUCCCUGGAGCUGCUCUGGUCUUUGCAUUUUCCCAGCCUCGCGCUCCUGCCUUCCUGUCUGUUCUGUGAAUUUCCCUAAACCCUUCCAAUAAACUUAUUUUUUUACUUCAGUUAAUCCAGGGUUGGUUUGUGUUGUUUGUGCUUUGAAGCAUACAACAUAGGUGGGUGAGUUAACCUUCCUCAGAAGUGUUCUGAAUGGGAUACAGAAACUCUCAGUGGCUCACUUUAGUCACUGGUUGUAGAAAAAAAAAGGGGUAUGGGGGAGGCUGCAGAGGAACUUAUAUAAUCUAUAUGCUCCAAGGAAGUAAGAGGCAUUGUAAGUAUGGAUGACUGUUUAUCCUCAGAUCUGCGUGACUACAUAAAUAAUAUUGCAUGAAUGAAUGAAUGAAUGAAUGAAUGAAUGAAUGAAAUCUUCAAAGAAAAGUUGGCUCGCCUUGGAGUUUCCUUCCCAGGUGGAGAACAUAAGUUGCAAAUAACUGUACCUACUUAUCUGUGUAUCAUUAUGAUACGAUUUAACUCACAGUCUUAACAGCAAAAAUACUUUUUAUCCGAUAAAUGUCUUGAGAUGGGAAGAGAACUUGACCCUGGAAGUCCUGAUUCCUUAAGCUCUGCUUCCUUGAUAGGUUCUGGAAGGGAAGAAUCUGAAGAGGGAUUGAUUUGCCUGUGGCCUCGUGAAUCAUUUUAAUUGUCUAGCACUGGGCUUACAUCAUCUUUGUGGCUCAACCCUGAAAGAGGUUUCUGUACUAUUAAGAAGCUCCCAAGUUAAAAACUAAUUCCCAAAUAGGAUUGCACAUUUUGGAAGGCAUUGGAGGAUCUGCAGUGCACCGUCAGGAAGCCCCGUGCCAAGCAAAUGCUUCUUUGAGACCUGGGCUGACACAGAGCGACUCAUCGGCUUUGUGGCGUUUUAAAGGCACAGGCUGCUGUUCCUGCUUCCCGAAUCAAAAAGCCAUGCGCAUCCUGGCAGAGGGGACCCUGAGGGCGUGCGGGGGGUCGAUGCUGGAAAUCCACAGGGAACAAGCCUGGUCUUGACCAGAGAGGGCCAUCACAUCCAUCAACACUUCCAAGAAUUAUAAGAUGGCUUCAGCUGCCAUUGAUUAAACCAGAAAAGAGCUGAAAACUGAGAAUGAAGAAGUCAAGCUUCUUAAAGUGACUCACAGGAAGGAAACCUGGUGAACAGACAGUUGGAUGAUUGGCUUCUGACUCACAGGAAGUUUCUUGACUCGAGAUUUCUGGCCAUCUACCACCAUUCGUUUGUUAUCAAACCACUGAAAUUUCUCCGGCAGCACGCAGAGGCUGUCUUGGUAAAAGUCUUGGGUUUAGAUGAACUGUUGGGCGCUUGCUGGUUGCAAACACUGAAUUAAAGUGGACAAUUUGGAGAUUUACAGAAGGCCUCACAUAAAAAAGCAUAAAGCUCUAUGACGGUCAUGCUCAUGGUUUUAAAGCAUUAUGCCAGCCCUGCAAGAAAGGGUCAGGACAAAUCAAAUCUGGUGUGUCUUGCUCUGUGUUGUGGUCUCAGUGCAUAGACCUCACUUGCAGAGAAGAAGAUGUGGGCUAAUGUUAUGCUAAUAUUAUGAUGACUUUAAGGGCUUGGCUAAUACAUAACUUAUGUAGAAUCUAUUAAACAGAUAUGAUUGAUGUCCCCUAUCCAUUUCUUCUUUAGCAACCUUCUCAUCAUUGUGGCAGUGUUGGAGGUGCCCUGGGUCUCCCUCCCAGAAAGGCCUGCUGUUGAACUGUAAGAAGUGCAGUCAGCCUGCAGCCUAUGGCUGUUAGCGCCUUAGAACCUGCCUCCUCCUUCCUGGGGCAGCCCCCAGCCAAUGGCUGAGCACAGAGCAGCUGGGAGGCCUGGACAUUUCUCUUCAACACUAACUCCUCUAAUGAGCAAUCUUUGUUCUGGAAUUCCCCAUCGGGCUGACCAAAACUUCCUCUGAUAUGCGUUGUGGUCUGAGCCCCUGUCCAAUUCUGCUUUCUUCCUCUUUUGUCUUCACCAAUGUUGCUCCCUAAUAAACCUUUUGCAUUCUUAGUUCUGCCUCGGCGUCUGCUUCUCUGAUGGCACACUUGGCACAACCAUCAUGGCCUCAGUGAAGUGGGAAGGACUAAAAAGUAGGAAACAAAAAUAUUUUCAGGGAUACAGUCAUACCAGCAAAGAAGGGGGGGAGGAGCACCAUUCUUCCUGUUCAGGAGAGUACAGGGAGGAGAAGACGGGUUGAGACAGGGUAAGAACUUCACACAUCAAGAUCAUACCUCUCCUCUU